GGAGAGGUGCCCGAGUGGUUUAAGGGGUACGCCUGGAGAGCGUAUAUAUCCGUAAGGGUAUCAUGGGUUCAAAUCCCAUCCUCUCCG
Molecule: transfer RNA, 87 nt
Filed under: Elusimicrobiota bacterium
Lineage: Bacteria; Pseudomonadati; Elusimicrobiota
Description: Elusimicrobia bacterium (hot springs metagenome) tRNA-Ser
Rfam family: tRNA
About the family: Transfer RNA (tRNA) molecules are approximately 80 nucleotides in length. Their secondary structure includes four short double-helical elements and three loops (D, anti-codon, and T loops).
Source: RNAcentral